Molecule: long non-coding RNA, 915 nt
Organism: Vigna radiata var. radiata (mung bean)
Lineage: Eukaryota; Viridiplantae; Streptophyta; Magnoliopsida; Fabales; Fabaceae
Exons: 2
Source: RefSeq, a predicted model, not a curated record
AGGACCGGCAUCGUAUUUUCUUAAAGUUGGCUGGUCUGGCUGGGCCUUUGAAAGUGAAGCUGCUGAUUUGAAGCCCAUGUGCGGAUUAAUGAAAUGCAGCGUUUCAUGUUGCUGCAAAGAGGCAAAGCUGAUGGGGUAUUCUUUCUCACGUUCAUUCGCACAGAGUUUUACUCAUUUGGGGAUUUUCUCCCAAUUCUCUCAACCCUCGUUAGGAUUCGCGAGCCAGCAAACAUGACGAAGCAUAGAAGCACUCCAUGGGUCGAGUUGGAAGACGAUCAGAAGCGCUGCGGCCCAAAGAAAAAACCCAAGAUGUUGACCGGUCCGAUGAGCUGUGCUGAGCUGGAUUGACGGUUGAAGAACAAAGCAUAGUUAGUUGAAGGAUACUCCAGAAUAUUCGAAGUUUGUUUUCAGUUCUUUCCCCUUUCCCUCUUUUCUUUUCUGUUAUGGACUUUCUCUAUAAAAGGAAGUCUUGUAAUGAACAAUGUAAGUGCACUGGAUGACAGACUUUGCACUUAGCUUAAGAUUUUUAAUUCUUGCUUUUAGUUUUAGAAUUUAAAGCUUUCGUAGAUACGCUCUUUGCUACACUGGGGUUCUUGGAGCUUUCCAUUGGGUGACAGUGGGAUUGAGAAACUGGAUAGCCCAGGUCAAAGGGUCAAAAAAUCUGGUCAAAAUAAGAUUGGGCUGAAGUGGGUAAAGCUGUCAAUGGCUGAUGAUACCUGGGCUGAAUUGAGAAUGGUCCAUUAUGAAGCUGGAAGUGCAACGUUUUGGGCUGAAGCUUAAUGACGCUACGCGUUUUAAGUGGAGAAAAAGGGCGUUGAAGCCUGCACCUCCCCUCCUUGGACCUCCACCUCCCCAUCCCAUUUUUAUCCUUUCUUUUUUUAUUUAUAAUUUUAAUAAUUAUUUAUAUUCCUAUUA